Molecule: transfer RNA, 37 nt
Filed under: Nostoc sp. 'Nephroma helveticum cyanobiont'
Lineage: Bacteria; Bacillati; Cyanobacteriota; Cyanophyceae; Nostocales; Nostocaceae
Description: partial tRNA-Leu
Source: RNAcentral
CUUAAAAUCCGUUGACCGUAAAAGGUCGUGUGGGUUC